AAGUCGAACGAAGUAGCAAUACUUAGUGGCAGACGGGUGAGUAACAUGUAGGUAUCUGCCCUUUGGCCUGGAAUAACACGAGGAAACUUGUGCUAAUACCGGAUAAGUCUUUACGGAGAAAGCUUUAUGCACCAUUGGAUGAGCCUGCACUUGAUUAGUUUGUUGGUGGGGUAAUGGCCUACCAAGACUGUGAUCAAUAGCUGAUUUGAGAGGAUGAUCAGCCACAUUGGGACUGAGACACGGCCCAAACUCCUACGGGAGGCAGCAGUGGGGAAUCUUGCACAAUGGAGGAAACUCUGAUGCAGCGAUGCCGCGUGAGUGAAGAAGGCCCUUGGGUUGUAAAGCUCUUUCGUCGGGGAAGAAAAUGACUGUACCCGAAUAAGAAGGUCCGGCUAACUUCGUGCCAGCAGCCGCGGUAAUACGAAGGGACCUAGCGUAGUUCGGAAUUACUGGGCUUAAAGAGUUCGUAGGUGGUUGAAAUAGUUGGUGGUGAAAUCCCAGAGCUUAACUCUGGAACUGCCAUCAAAACUUUUCAGCUAGAGUAUGAUAGAGGAAAGCAGAAUUUCUAGUGUAGAGGUGAAAUUCGUAGAUAUUAGAAAGAAUACCAAUUGCGAAGGCAGCUUUCUGGAUCAUUACUGACACUGAGGAACGAAAGCAUGGGUAGCGAAGAGGAUUAGAUACCCUCGUAGUCCAUGCCGUAAACGAUGUGUGUUAGACGUUGGAAAUUUAUUUUCAGUGUCGCAGGGAAACCGAUAAACACACCGCCUGGGGAGUACGACCGCAAGGUUAAAACUCAAAUGAAUUGACGGGGACCCGCACAAGUAGUGGAGCAUGUGGUUUAAUUCGAAGAUACGCGCAGAACCUUACCAACACUUGACAUGUUCGUCGCGACUCUAAGAGAUUAGAGUUUUCGGUUCGGCCGGACGAAACACAGGUGCUGCAUGGCUGUCGUCAGCUCGUGUCGUGAGAUGUUGGGUUAAGUCCCGCAACGAGCGCAACCCUCACUUUUAGUUGCCAUCAUUUAGUUGGGCACUCUGAAAGAACUGCCAGUGAUAAGCUGGAGGAAGGUGGGGAUGACGUCAAGUCCUCAUGGCCCUUACGUGUUGGGCUACACACGUGCUACAAUGGUAUCUACAACAGGAAGCAAGACUGCGAAGUUAAGCAAAUCCCUAAAAGAUACCUCAGUUCGGAUUGCACUCUGCAACUCGAGUGCAUGAAGCUGGAAUUACUAGUAAUCGUGGAUCAGCGUGCCACGGUGAAUGCGUUCCCGGGUCUUGUACACACCGCCCGUCACACCAUGGGAGUUGGUUCUACCUUAAGGCAAGGUUUUAAAC
RNAcentral lists this ribosomal RNA (1334 nucleotides) under uncultured Pelagibacterales bacterium. RNAcentral's name for it is "bacterial SSU rRNA". It matches the Rfam family "Bacterial small subunit ribosomal RNA". The record is from RNAcentral. Lineage: Bacteria; Pseudomonadati; Pseudomonadota; Alphaproteobacteria; Candidatus Pelagibacterales.